This 497-nucleotide ribosomal RNA is filed under the name uncultured bacterium. RNAcentral describes it as "partial 16S ribosomal RNA". It matches the Rfam family "Bacterial small subunit ribosomal RNA", at positions 28 to 507 of the family's 1533-position model. The record is from RNAcentral.
GAUGAACGCUGGCGGCGUGCCUAAUACAUGCAAGUCGAGCGAACAGACGAGGAGCUUGCUCCUCUGACGUUAGCGGCGGACGGGUGAGUAACACGUGGAUAACCUACCUAUAAGACUGGGAUAACUUCGGGAAACCGGAGCUAAUACCGGAUAAUAUAUUGAACCGCAUGGUUCAAUAGUGAAAGACGGUUUUGCUGUCACUUAUAGAUGGAUCCGCGCCGCAUUAGCUAGUUGGUAAGGUAAGGGCUUACCAAGGCGACGAUGCGUAGCCGACCUGAGAGGGUGACAGUCCCCACUGGAAGUGGGUCACGGUCCAGACUCCUACGGGGGGCCGCAGUAGGGAAUCUUCCGCAAUGGGCGAAAGCCUGACGGAGCAACGCGGCGUGAGUGAUGAAGGUCUUCGGAUCGUAAAACUCUGUUAUUAGGGAAGAACAAAUGUGUAAGUAACUAAGCACGUCUUGACGGUACCUAAUCAGAAAGCCACGGCUAACUACGUG